UAAGGAAUAUUGGGCAAUGGGCGAAAGCCUGACCCAGCGACACCGCGUGAGGGAUGAAGGCCUUCGGGUUGUAAACCUCUAACAUACGUAGAGAAAGGCGCCGUAAAUAAUACAUACGGUGACUGGACAAAGGCGUAAGAUGAAGUCAUUGCUAACUCUGUGCCAGCAGCAGCGGUAAUACAGAGAUGGCGACCGUUGUUCGGAAUCACUGGGCUUAAAGGGCAUGUAGGCGGCAAGAAAAGUUGAUAGUGAAAUCCCAUGGCUUACCCAUGGAAUUGCUGUCAAAACUAUCUUGCUUGAGUGAGGUAGGGGGGAGUGGAACUCCUGGUGGAGCGGUGAAAUGCGUUGAUAUCAGGAGGAACGCCGGAGGCGAAAGCGACUCUCUGGACCUCAACUGACGCUGAGGUGCGAAAGCUGGGGGAGCAAACG
This 429-nucleotide ribosomal RNA is filed under the name uncultured prokaryote. Its description in RNAcentral is "bacterial SSU rRNA". It matches the Rfam family "Bacterial small subunit ribosomal RNA", at positions 355 to 774 of the family's 1533-position model. The record is from RNAcentral.